GACGAACGCUGGCGGCGUGCCUAAUACAUGCAAGUCGAGCGGACUUUCCGGAGUGCUUGCACUCCGGAAGGUUAGCGGCGGAUGGGUGAGUAACAAGUAGGCAACCUGCCCAUAAGACAGGGAUUACAUUCGGAAACGAAUGCUCAUACCGGAUAGACGGACCUCUCGCAUGAGGGGAUAGGGAUAGGCGGAGCAAUCUGCCGCUCAUGGAUGGGCCUGGGGCGCAUUAGCUGGUUGGUGGGGUAACGGCCUACCAAGGCGACGAUGCGUAGCCGACCCGGGAGGGGGAACGGCCACUGAGGGACUGAGAGACGGCCCUGGCACCGACGGGAGGCAGCAGUAGGGAAGCGUGCGAGAAGGGCGCAAGUCUGACGGAUGAACGGCGCGUGAGUGAGGAAAGCCUGCGGGUCGUAAAGCUCUGUUGCCAGGGAAGAACGGGUAGGGGAGUAACGGCCCUUGCGAUGACGGAACCGGAGAAGAGAGCCCCGGCUAACUACGU
Molecule: ribosomal RNA, 499 nt
Filed under: uncultured bacterium
Lineage: Bacteria
Description: partial 16S ribosomal RNA
Rfam family: Bacterial small subunit ribosomal RNA
Source: RNAcentral